This 253-nucleotide ribosomal RNA is filed under the name uncultured bacterium. RNAcentral describes it as "partial 16S ribosomal RNA". It matches the Rfam family "Bacterial small subunit ribosomal RNA", at positions 524 to 776 of the family's 1533-position model. The record is from RNAcentral.
UACGUAGGGUGCAAGCGUUGUCCGGAAUUAUUGGGCGUAAAGAGCUCGUAGGCGGUCUGUCGCGUCGGAUGUGAAAAUCCAGGGCUCAACCCUGGACCUGCAUUCGAUACGGGCAGACUAGAGUUCGGCAGGGGAGACUGGAAUUCCUGGUGUAGCGGUGAAAUGCGCAGAUAUCAGGAGGAACACCGGUGGCGAAGGCGGAUCUCUGGGCCUUACCUGACGCUCAGGUGCGAAAGCUAGGGGAGCGAACAGG